This 546-nucleotide ribosomal RNA is filed under the name Stomatella impertusa. Its description in RNAcentral is "partial 16S rRNA". It matches the Rfam family "Bacterial large subunit ribosomal RNA", at positions 1846 to 2597 of the family's 2925-position model. The record is from RNAcentral. Lineage: Eukaryota; Metazoa; Mollusca; Gastropoda; Trochida; Trochidae.
UAAAGAGUCGGACCUGCCCGGUGACUAAUAGUUAAACGGCCGCGGUACCCUAACCGUGCAAAGGNAGCAUAAUCAUUUGCCUUUUAAUUGAAGGCUGGUAUGAAUGGUUUGACGAAAGCUAAGCUGUCUCUUCUAGAUUAGAUAGAAUUUAACUUUUAGGUGAAGAGGCCUAAAUUUAUUUGAGGGACAAGAAGACCCUGUUGAGCUUUAGUGUAUUUAUAAGUUUAGAAAGUAAUUGAAAUGUUGCUUUGUAUCUGUGUGCUUUGCACAAUUUUUUUUAUAAAAAAUCUUUAGUUGGGGCGACUGAGGAACAAGAAAAGCUUCCUUAAUAAUAUUUUAGUGACGUAUUUUAGGUUCUGUAUUAUUUUUACUUAAUAUGGUUGAUCCAAAAUUUUUGAUUAAAGGAAAAAGUUACCACAGGGAUAACAGCGUAAUCUUUCUGGAGAGAUCUAAUUGAAAGGAGGGUUUGCGACCUCGAUGUUGGACUAAGAUAUCCGGAGGGUGUAGAAGUUCUCAAGGGUUGGUCUGUUCGACCAUUAAAAUCUU